CUAGUGGAGAGAAGUAUCCCAGAAGGCACCACUAUGCAAACGAAGAAAUUACAGAGUGCCAGGAAGACAGAGACAGCGUGAUGAGCUCUCAUCAUCAGGUAAAUUCUAGAGACUGUUGUGUGUGAAAAUCCCAGGAGAUCAGCAGUUACAGAAAUACUCAAACCAGCCCAUCUGUCACCAACAAACAUCCAUGCGAUUAUCUAAUCAGCCAAUCGUGUGGCAGCAGUGCAGUGCAUAAAAUCAUGCAGAUACGGGUCAGGAGCUUCAGUCUCUAGAAUUUACUCAGAAUGGUGCCAAAAACAAAAAAAAAACAUCCAGUGAGCAGCAGUUCUGCGGAUGGAAAUGCCUUGUUGACGAGAGAGGUCAGUGGAGAAUGGCCAGACUGGUUUGAACUGACAAAGUCUACGGUAACUCAGAAGAGAUAAUGGAGAUGACUUUAUUGUCCAUCACAGUGUGGCUUACUCACUUCCUCUUUGCCUCGGCUCUAUAUUUCAACACAACUACAACAACACAACUGCCAACAAACACCCUGAGUGACUAUACUGAAAACACACAUAUCACUGGGGCAACAACAGAAACAAACCCAGAACCCAGAAUACUGAUAAAUACAACAGCUUUGUCACCUCAGACCAUGACAUCACAGAACAACACAGUUGCUACAGCUAUGCAUGUGGCAUUUACAGAAGAAGCAAAAUACAUGCAUCAGUUCAAUGGCAGCAAUGAAUCUCAGAAUUACAUUAUGGAUAUCACAAAAGGACCAGAUGAAGGGAGCGUUAGCAGUGCUAGUAAUGUUAUAAUGCACACAAAUACAAGUCCAAUGGAUACCACAGUUUCUUCGAACCCUGCAAGACUGAUACUAAAAAAGGAUGACAAUGAAACAGGAACAAGGUCAAGCACACAUAACACAAGUUACGACAGUGACAGGCACACCAGUUUGGGCAAAGUUCUGGACACACAGACUACCAAUGCAGUCACACAGUCCUUAUCAGACCUUUCCAAUACUGUCACAACAGGGGUAGGGGAUGAGAGAACGAAAGCUGAUGAAGGAAAUUAUGAAAUGUACUCCACCCAAUCAACAUUUGCUAAUUUGAACGAGGAGUCAAGAGGAACACAAGUCACAGAGGGAAGUUAUAGCCUAACAAGUGAACAUAGAGUUCCACUGCACAGUGAGCAACAUUACAACACAGGACAAAGUACAACAGAAGUGAGUACUGCAACACCGAAAACAAGGAACAACUGGAUAACUCCACACAACACAAACACACCAAAGACUACCUCUGCUUACACAACACAUGACCUUACUGUUACAGACAAAACUGAAUAUCACACCUCAAUACCUGUCCUUGUAGCAAAAAAUGGUGGAUACUGGACAGAGCAGCCCAGACGAGAGUACAGUACAGACUCUACAACACAGCAGAGUUUAUACAGACUCAUACUCUCUACAGCACACAUUGAAAGAGAAAAUAGGACUGAAACAGACACCCUAGACACACCCAGUGGCAUCACCAUAAACAACAGCACUAUCAUAGCUAAUGUUAUAACAGACAAUAGCACAAAUGCCACAACCGACAAAACGAACAAAACUGACAGAGACAAUACAAUGUUGCCCAACUGUUUUAACACAAACUCAGAACCUCAGUUUCUGCAAUCAAGGCUGGUCUGCUUCAUCACAAUGUGGACUCUGGCAAUGACUGCUUCAGUUUUCCUUGGAAUAUCUAUUUUCUUGUGCGUGCGUCUGUCAGUCGUUAAAGAGAGGAUGAAACACAGGGGAAGAGGACAAAAAGAGAAGGGAGGACCGAAGUGGGAGAAAGAGAGCCUCUGGGCCAUCCCCAAAGGAUCGGUGCAGGAGAGAGUGGAAUUCUGGUAUGUCAAUGGAUCUACACUGGAGGCAGACAGGAAGGAGAAGCAAAGAAAAAGUGUGGAGAGACUCAAGAGGAAAAAUAAUAAUGACAAGAACGAAUUGUGGAUCCAGCCUAGGGUUACUAUGGAUGAUUUAUCAGAUUUUUGGUUUGCAAAUAGAAGAAUAAAGGAGGAGAGGAGAGAGGACAGAGACAACAUUGAAAGAGAGCAUGCUUGCAGAGCUGUGAACAAUGUCUACCUUUAGAGAGGAGUUUAGAGGAGAGCUUCUUAACUGGUGGAUCGCUACCCAAAAAUGGGUCUCUGGACUAUUUUGAUAUGGAAAAAACAAUGCUGAAUGCAAAUAAUAAAAGACAACUAAUCAUAUAUUGAGCAAAGUUAGGAUUGUGUAUAGUUGUUAAUGCCAAAUGUAAUGCAUCCAAUCAAACUCAAACAAAAUCAAAAUAUGUUAUUUUGAUGCAAAUUCAUCUGUCACUUGGUAAAGAUAGAUGCCAAUGUGAAUAUUGUAAGACAUGCCCUCUUCCUUGAAAACCAUGAACAGCACAUUAAUAAUAAUAAUAAUAAUAAUAAAACGUAUUUAUUUUUUUACACUUUAUUAGGAACACCUGUAUACCUACAUAUUUAUGAAAUUAUCUAAUCAGCCAAUCAUGUGGCAGCAGUCCAGUGCAUAACAUUAUUCAGAUAUGGGUCAGGAGCUUCAGUUAAUGUUCACAUCAACCAUCAGAAUGGAAAAAAAUGUGACCUCAUUGAUUUCGACCAUGGCAUGAUUGUUGGUGCCAGAUGGGCUAGUUUGAGUAUUUCUGUAACUGCUGAUCUCCUGAGAUUUUCAUGCACAACAGUCUCUAGAGUUACUCAGAAUGGUGCCAAAAAAAUAAAUAAGAAAACCAAAAUAAAAUCCAGUUGGCAGCAGUUAUGUGGACAGGAACGCCUUCUUGAUGAGAGACAUCAGCGGAGAAUGGCCAGACUGGUUCGAGCUGACAGAAAGGCUAUAAUAACUCAGAUAACAACGUUUUUCAAGACUUUUUCAUGGUAAUAGCCUAUUGAUAAAUAUAUAAACACAAAUUUGGUUCUGUGUUAGAUUGCCAUUUGAUGUCUAUCAAUGUAAAUUCUGAGUUGUGAAGCAAAACCAGUUGAGAGACACUGGUUUAGACAGUUCUCCAAUAUUCGGCCUAAAACAAAAGGGUGCUUUGAUGGAUACUUUCUGUGAGGAGUACACUUAGAAUUUUCAAGCUUAUAUAGGGUACAUUGGAUGGAAAUGCAGUUCAGUAAAUCAGUCGAACAAUAUUGUCUAGAUUUCAAAAACCUGGAAUGUGGCCAAAUGAGAAUGACGUGACUCCAGAAAGAUAAAUUAGGACUUCCCCUUUCAUAGAAAAGUUUGGUGUGGCCAACUUUAACCACAGAACAUAUUGAUCCAACACUUAAACAUCUGAACAUCACAAUAUUCCAUUCACACCACACCCAAAACUUUUUUACAGAUAUAUUUUGAUUUGUGUAUUGUAUUUAAUUAUGACACCAAAAAGCAAUAAUUUAAAAUAAUUUAAAUAAUUUAAAGGACUAUCCUGUUCUUUAAAUUCUGAUGCUUUUUAUAUACAGGAACACCACUAUCUGCUAAUUAUCACUACAGGUGCAUCUCAGAAAAUUAGAAUAUCGUGGAAAAGUUCCUUAAUUUAAUUCAAAAAGUGGAAUUUUCAUAUAUUCUAGAUUCAUUACACAUAAAGUGAAAUAUUUCAAGCCUUUUUUUGUUUUAAUCUUGAUGAUUACAGCUUACAGCUCAUGGAAAUCAAAAAUCUAGUAUCUCAAAAUAUUAGAAUAAAGAAUUUAUAAUACAGAAAUGUCGACCUUCUGAAAUGUUAAUUUAUGCACUCAAUACUUGGUCGGGGCUCCUUUUGCACGAAUUACUGCAUCAGUGCGGCAUGGCAUGAAGGCAAUCAGCCUGUGGCACUGCUGAGGUGUUGUGGAAGCCUAGGUUGCUUUGAUAGCAGCCUUCAGCUCGUCUGUAUGAUUGGGUCUUUUGCUUCUCAUUUUCCUCUUGACAAUACCCCAUAGAUUCUCUAUGGGGUUUAGGUCAGGUGAGUUGGCUGGCCAAUCAAGCACAGUAAUACCAUGGUCAGCAAACCAGUUACUAGUAGUUUUGGCACUGUGGGCAGGUGCCAAGUCCUGCUGGAAAAGGAAAUCAGCAUCUCCAUAAAGCUUGUCAGCAGAUGGAAGCAUGAAGUGCACUAAAUUCUCCUGGUAGAGGGCUGCAUUGACUCUCAACUUGAGAAAACAUAGUGGACCAACACCAGCAGAUGACAUGGCACCCCAAAUCAUCACUGACUGUGGAAACUUCACACUGGACUUCAAGCAACUUGGAUUCUGUGCCUCUCCAUUCUUCCUCCAGACUCUGGGACCUUGAUUUCCAAAUGAAAUGCAAAAUGUACUGUCAUCUGAAAAGAGGACUUUGGACCACUGAGCAACGGUCCAGUUCUUUUUCUCCUUAGCCCAGGUAAGACGCUUCUGACGUUGUCUCUGGUUCAGGAGUGGCUUGACACUAGGAAUGUCACUGCCACUGUAAUUCAUGCAAAAUUCUUUAUUCUAAUAUUUUGAGAUACUGGAUUUUUUUAUUUCCAUGAGCUGUAAGCCGUAAUCAUAAAAAAAAAAAAAAAAAAAAAGGCUUGAAUUAUUUCACUUUGUGUGUAAUGAAUCUAGAAUAUAUGAAAGUUCACUUUUUGAAUUAAAUUAGCGAAAAAAAUUAACUUUUCCACGAUAUUCUAAUUUUUGGAGAUGCACCUGUAUAUGCUGCCACUUUCACUUUGAUAGGACUAGCUGUGGCAUGCCCAAGAAAGAUUCUAGGGGUGAAUACCACAGAUAAACACAUUUUUGUAAAUCUCCCAGUGUUGUCUUAUGUGGGUCUUUGUAAACAAUAUCUUGUGAAAUAAAAUAAAAUAAAAGCAAUGUUAAGAUAUUAUGUAUUGUGCUAAAAUGAAACUUGCAAUUAAGAGUACAAUUAGAAAAUGCUGUUACAAUCAUCAAACACAUGCAUGUACACACUCAAACACACACACUUACACAUAGAUGCUUAACUGUAAAGUUGUGCAGACAUAGAGUCAAAACCCACAAACGUGUCAACACACCCAUAAUAAUUUAGAGUGUGAUGAAACACUUUGCUUUUUUUUUUGCAACUUUACCAAUCUUUCAGCUGCAGCCUCUGUUGGACAGAUACACGCUGUGAUAUGAUGAGAACUUGAGAGGGUGGAGAAAUUAAAGAGGGCAUGUGGUAAGAGAGAUAGAGAGGAAGAGAAAUAAACAGGAUAUAGGUGUUCACUACAUGUGAAAGUGUGAAGUGGUUCACAUGUGCAAUUUGGUCUUGGUGGUUGGAGUUUGCAGUGAGUUUACACAGAGAUAUGAAGCUGAAAUCUCCCUUGCUACAUUAAGAGAGAGAGAGAGAGAAAGUGGAAGAACACGGCUGUGUAAAACUUUCCGACCUAGAUUCAUGCAAGAUUACUCCAGCAGAACGAUUACUACGCAAGAAGAUGAGAACCUGAAGAUGAACUUAUGAAAGCUUCGGCUAACAGUAUUCCUUUUACUUCAGCAUUUCACAUUGUAGAGCCACAAAAGAGGACAAGACAAUAUCUGCUCUCACUAUCUUGUUCUAAGACUGAGAUCACAAUAGAAAGCUCCUAGAGUUUUCCUUGAGUGACCUUUCAGCCAAUAUAUACAACAUGAGACUAGAUUUUAGCCAUUUACUGCUGUCUCUUGCUACUGGACUUUGUUUCAAUUUAAUUUAUGCACAAGAGAGAAAUGAGACAGACACAAAUGUCACCACUACAUUACUGAAUUAUAAGACUGUGGAUGCAACCUUAAGUCCUGAAGUCACUGUUGCAUUUAUACCUGAAAAUGUUGUCACUGAAUUACCAACAACAUCAGAUCAGAAUCAUGCAGUCUCCACUCCUGAAAAUGAAAUGAGCACCAUACAUGAAGAGCCAACAGUUGAGGCUACUACGCUACUCAUUACUGAGACUGAACAAACAACAAGCCAGACAAAACCAAAGUCUGAUUCUGAAGGAACAACUGCUCAAGGACAACACACCACAAUGGCCUUGGAGCCAAUGGAAGCAAGCACCACUGCUGUGGCUGUUAGGAUAGAAACAGGUAUGACUGCACCAAUAACUUCAGAAUACCUGCCAAGCACAAGUCGAUAUGAAACCACUGUUGGCUUUAUUAAUUAUGAGUUGACCAGUGCUAUGGAACACAGAGUUGAGAUCACCACAGAAACGUUUGCCUUGACUACAGCUUCAACGGCACAGAAUUCCACACCCAACACUUCACAACCACCUGCAGAAGGAACUGAGUCCCUGAUCAUCACGUCCAGCCCCGAGGACACCACGUUCCUCACUACUACCACAGAAGCCUCCACAUCAACUCUGAUCUCCACCUCAAAGUUCUUCUUUCGUGGUGCUCCUGACCUACAUCAUUCACUGUCUGUAGAUGAAUCAGUUUCCACCCAUUUAACACCUAUCUUGCAUACACAGACCAACUGGCUAUUAAUAAUAAUAGUGUGUGUAAUCAUCAUUUGUGUGCUGUUAGGAGUCUUCCUUUUUUUUGUCAAAUGGCGAAAGAAAAACGCCUCGCACAAGUUCAGCCCAGGGUACGUGAACGGACGAAGCAAACGGUCCAUGAAAAAGAAAGGGGCAGAGGAUGAUGCGUGGGCUGGGCCUGUGAAUCUAGAGGCUGGAGAGAGAGUGGAUUGCGAUGGAAAAGAACAGAGGGAUCUGCUGUCUGAUGAGGGGAGAGGGGAUGGAGAUGAUAUGCCGCUCAGCACAUUUGCUACCCUGGAAUCAGGUGACACAUCUAACGGUGGAGUGGGUGGGGACGGAACCACAGAGGCAAAGAAAUGGGAGGAGCAGGAGCCUCUGCUUUACAUAGAUGAGGAUUUGGAGGAAGCAGUGGCAGAGAAUGAGAGACAGAAAGGAGAUAAAAACAGUGGGAGACCGGCUGUGAAAGAAAUUUAAGCGUUCUGUCUCACCACAGAUGUUUAAAAGUUAUCUUCUGUUCACAGAACUGACUUUUAAUCAUAGGUUUAAUAGAAUUGAUGAUUUUGAUUACUUAAUGUCUUGAUUUCUUUUUGUCAUAAAGAAGGACUAAAUAAUAACUGUGUUUAAUGUAACUCAAUAAUGGUGCAAUGUUUAACUGCUGCUUUACACUUCUUGCUCACUUUCCUUAAUCUGAAUAUUAGUUGAUUUUUCACACUUCCUGAUCUUAUCAAAUGAUGUCCAAAUAUGCAAUCAAAUGAAUCUGAAGAAAAAAUUAUGAAAUACAAAAUUGAAAAAAUAAAAUAAAAUAAUAAUAAUAAUAAUUACACAAAACAUUUUGGCACUUCCUAUGGCCACCAAUGGUGCAGUAUUUUUCUGUAACUUUAUGCAUCUUUUUGGUGUGGAUACCAACAUAUUUACAUUUUCUAAAUUUUAUGUUUUGGCAGCAAAUAUGUAUUAUUUGAAAGAAAAUGCAACAGUGACACUACUUUUUUCUUCUUCUUUCCAUUGCUGUUUAUAUUUGAAUUGAACAACCAAAUAAAUAUCAUACAAACUGUU
This is an RNA transcript of Myxocyprinus asiaticus (Chinese sucker), 7427 nucleotides long. It is a transcript of the gene named mucin-17-like, with no coding region annotated. The transcript has 5 exons. The record is from RefSeq and is a predicted model, not a curated record. NCBI's taxonomy places the organism in Eukaryota, Metazoa, Chordata, Actinopteri, Cypriniformes, Catostomidae.